GACGAACGCUGGCGGCGUGCUUAACACAUGCAAGUCGAACGAGAGCGUAGAGAAAGCUUGCUUUUUCUACAAUCUAGUGGCAAACGGGUGAGUAACGCGUAAACAACCUGCCCUACGGAUGGGGACAACAGCUGGAAACGGCUGCUAAUACCGAAUACGUUCCGAAAGUCGCAUGACUAUCGGAAGAAAGGAUGGCCUCUAUUUAUAAGCUAUCGCCGGAGGAGGGGUUUGCGUCUGAUUAGCUAGUUGGAGGGGUAACGGCCCACCAAGGCGACGAUCAGUAGCCGGUCUGGGAGGAUGAACGGCCACAUUGGAACUGAGACACGGUCCAGACUCCUACGGGAGGCAGCAGUGGGGAAUCUUCCGCAAUGGGCGAAAGCCUGACGGAGCAACGCCGCGUGAGUGAAGACGGCCUUCGGGUUGUAAAGCUCUGUUAUACGGGACGAAUAAUCUUGUGGUUAAUACCCAUGAGAAGUGACGGUACCGUAAGAGAAAGCCACGGCUAACUACGUG
RNAcentral lists this ribosomal RNA (513 nucleotides) under uncultured bacterium. RNAcentral describes it as "partial 16S ribosomal RNA". It matches the Rfam family "Bacterial small subunit ribosomal RNA", at positions 28 to 507 of the family's 1533-position model. The record is from RNAcentral.